Molecule: long non-coding RNA, 4974 nt
Filed under: Homo sapiens (human)
Lineage: Eukaryota; Metazoa; Chordata; Mammalia; Primates; Hominidae
Description: HSALNT0353063
Source: RNAcentral
GAGCGGUUUCCGAGGCCUCACGCGCUGGCGGGGCUGUUGAGAUCGGUUGGGGGCUCCCAGGCCGCGAGGCGCGCUGCCAGUUGGGAUGAAAAUGGCGGAUGAGGCCGGGCGCGGUGGCUCACGCCUGUGGUCCCAGCACUUUGGGAGGCCGAGGCGGGCGGAUCACAAGGUCAGGAAAUCGAGACCAUCCUGGCGAACACUGUGAAACCCCGUCUCUUCUAAAAAUACAAAAAAAAAUUAGCCAGGCGUGGUGGCGGGCGCUUGUAGUCCCAGCUACUCAGGAUGCUGAGGCAGGAGAAUGGCGUGAACCCGGGAGGCGCAGCUUGCAGCGAGCCAAGAUGGCGCCGCUGCACUCCAGCCUGGGCAGCAGAGCGAGACUCCAUCUCAAAAAAAAAAAAAAAAAAAAAGAAAAGAAAAGAAACUGGCGGACAAAGGAAGAGAUCCUCCUUCAGGCAGGGUAGGGAAGAAGGGCACUCGGUGACCAGAGACCUUUUCCAGGACCAUGUCUUUGAAGCAAAUCUCAGCUCUUGUCUUCCGGAAGCGAUGGAGACAGAAUCCAGAAGCCUGAGACUCUCUCCUUUCCUGGCUUUGAUGAAGCAAGCUGCCACACUGGAGAGGCCUACAUGAUAAGGACCUGAAGGUGGCCUCCAGCUAGCUCCAGCCAACAGUUGGCAAGGAAUUGAGGACCUGAGUCCAAUAGACCUUGAGGAACUGAAUCCUGCAACAGCUACACAAGUGAGCAUGGCAGUGUAUCCUUCCCCAGUAAAGCCUUCAGAUGAGACCCCAGCCCCAGCUGACACCUUGAUUGAAGCCUUGUGAGAGACCCUGAAGCAGAGAAACCAGCUAGGCCUUGCCUGGAUUCCUGAUCCACAAACUGCUUUUGUGAUGCCCUAUAAUUACAUGAACUCUACUAAAAAGAGGGAUACUGGAAAGAAGAAUAAUGUUGAGACACCUUUGCAGAAGAAAAAACAACUUCCUCUCUUCCUCUACUUCACUCUGGCAAGUUCUCCAACCUGACAAGCCAGUAGGGGACAGUUUUGCUCUUGUCGCCCAGGCUGGAGUGCAAUGGCGUGAUCGUGACUCACUGCAACCUCCGUCUUCCGGGUUCAAGUGAUUCUUCUGCCUCAGCCCCAGUGAGUAGCUGGGAUUACAGGCACCUGCUGCCAUGCCCAGCUAAUUUUUGUAUUUUUUUUUUUUUUUUUUUUUUUUUUUUUUGAGACGGAGUCUCGCUCUGUCGCCCAGGCUGGAGUGCAGUGGCGGGAUCUCGGCUCACUGCAAGCUCCGCCUCCCGGGUUCACGCCAUUCUCCUGCCUCAGCCUCCCAAGUAGCUGGGACUACAGGCGCCCGCCACUACGCCCGGCUAAUUUUUUGUAUUUUUAGUAGAGACGGGGUUUCACCAUGUUGGCCAGGCUGGUCUGGAACUCCUGACCUCAGGUGAUCCACCUGCCUCGGCCUCCCAAAGUGCUGGGAUUGCACCUCAGGUAAGCCACCAUGUCCAGCCCACAAGAUAGCCAUCUAAUAUAUAAAGGCACAGAUAGAUUAAAAGCAAAGGGAUGGAGAUAAACAUACCAUACUAACAGUAAUCGGAAGAAAAUAGAGGCAGCUAUAUUAAUUUAAAACAAGUCAGAUUUCAGCACAAGGAAAAUUGUCAGGGAUAAAGAGGGGCAUUACAUGAUAACAAAGGGGUCAAUUUUCCAAAAAGCCAUAAUAAUUCCUAAUGUGUACACAUCUAACAACAAGAGUGUCAAAAUAUAUGAGGCAAAAGUGGUAGAACUACAAGGAGAAAUAGAUAAAUCCACUAUUAUUGUGGGAGAUUUCAAAAUGUCUCUAUUAGUAAUUGACAGAUAAAGCAGAAAAUCUGUGAAGAUAUAGUUGAUCAGAACACCACUAGUAAUCAGCUUGAUCUAACUGACAUGUAUUGAAUACUUCAUUCAACAGCAUUCUGUUCAAGCUUACAUGGAACAUUAACUAAGGUAGAUAACAUUCUGGGCCAUAAAGCAUACCUUAAUAACUAUAAAAGAAAUUAUAUAAUGUCUACUCAUAUAAUGCUACAUAUGGUCUAACCAUAAUGUAGCAAAACUAGAAAUCAAUAACAUAAAGAUAUCCAGAAAAUCCCAAAAUACAUGAAGAUUAAACAACACACAUGGGCAAAGAAGAAGUAUCAAGAGAAAUUUUAAAAUAUUUUAAACUAAAUGAAAGUGGAAAAAUCAAAAUUUGCUGCAAAAUCAAAAUUGUAGCAAAAAUAGUGUUUAGAAGGAAAUUUCUAGCAUUAAAUACACAUGUUAGAAAAGAAUAAAGACCUAAAAUCUCUGUACAGCUCUGGCUCACUUAACUGACAGAUGUCUCUCUGUUUCCAAAAUAUUGGAAAACACAGAUUACUCUUUAGGUAGCACAGAGAUAGAAGGAGGAGCCCCAUCCUACACAGGAAGGCAAGGAUAGGAAUACCCAGGAAGUCAAGCUGGAGCUCAGCCAUGGUGCAGUAAGGCUUCUGAGACAAAGAAGGUAGUCUUCAUUAUCAGAAGCUGAGUGCUGAGUCCCCAUUCCAGAUCAGAGUUCCAGGCCUAUAUCAUGGAACUUUAACACAGACACCAGAAGUUCUUGAGGGUGGGGCGGGGACAACAAAUGGAAGAUGAACCCACAGUUCUUCCCCCUAUCAUCUAGCCCAACUGAUCUGUCCAUUCCCCUGGGUCCUUUUAGAUCUUCAUCUUACCCUCCAACUGCACCCUUUCAUGAUACUAUAUGUUUACAUUAGUAACAUUUUCUAUUUAUUCCACCUAUUACCUUUUACUGCUUCAUGAUCCGCCUUUGGAGCCCACUAUCUUUGAAAGUGACGUGGCCAUGGAUUUACACCUUCAAGAUCUACUCUGUCCUCAACUAUAACCUCCCCAUGAACACAAUGUUUUUUUUUCACCUGUACAAAACCAGGAAUAUACUCAGCAGCAACCUAUCCCCUCCAUAUUUCUUCAAAAAGAUCCAUGUUUACCAAAAGCCAUCAGAGAACAGAGUAACCUGUACAACAAAGAGGGACACAAAGGCAUGGCCCAUCUCUGGCAAAAAAUUUGGAACUCUUUCAGUAAUUUUUUCUCCUCUAAUCUCUCUUAGGCUAUUCACCCCUAAGGGCUCUCAAAUCUAGCUCCCUCUACCUAUACAGUGUUCUAUCCUAUGCACCUUCUUUCUUCUCUUUACCAAACCCCCUCUCUUCUUCCCAGCAUUUUAAAAUUCUGCCUCAAUUUCACAGAGCAACUGUGCUGAACCACAACCCACAUAACCAAACUUAUCCUGAUUUAGGAAGCAGAUUUCUCCUUAGUGUAAUAUAGCCUAUAAUGAGCACAACUGAAACUUAGCAUAGCAUUUUGUUUUGAAUUAUGCCUAUGAUUACUUCUUUUAUGAAAGUUUUUAUUAUUUUUUUCCAUCUACUUCCUAACUUUUCACCCCAAUUCCUAUGGCUCCUCUAUACUUUUUUCAAACAAUGUCUAUUUUGUUUAUAGUAUAUAUGUAUUUAUCUCCCCAUGUUAGCCAGUCAUUUAACAGUUACAACCCUUGAAGCUUCUCUACUUAGGUUAUGAACUGCUGAAAUUAAGCCUUGUGUCAUUGCCUUACACUGCUUGCCUAAAUUCCCUCACUGAGUCUGAUGACUCCAUCUUGACCCCAGGCACCCAAUCCUUUUCAUCUGAUGAGGGUUUACCAGUGAUGACAGCUUUGCCUGUCUUCUGUAUCCACAGCUUCUCCAUUUUCUCUACCCAAAAGGAGGUAAACUUUAAGCCUGCCUCCUCACAUCUACCCUCCCUUGACUACAGGAGGUCUCUCUGUUGAGAAAUAUAUCUCCAUACAGCCUUGCAUCCUGAUGGUUUUUGUUGUUUUGUAUGUUUGGUUUCAUUCUGUUUGUUUAUAAUGUCUGGUCCUAACAGCCUGUAUGGUCCCUAGAACUCACAAAUGUAAAAAUGUCCUUUACAGCCAGAGCAAGAUAAGCUCCACCAUAAACUUUCUAAGAAGAGAGGAUUAUAAAAAUUACACAUUGAAUAUAUUCUUCAAAAAGGGUGAUGCCAUAAAAAAAUGUUGAGAAACUGCUCUAGAUUAGAGACUAAAGACACAUGAGAACUAAAUGCAAUACAUAAUUCUAGACUGGAUCCUGUAAUGGAGGUUAUUUUUAAGCCACAAAGGAUAUUACUGACAAAAAUGGAAUAUGGAUAAGAGAUUAAUUAAAAGUUUUACACCAAUGCUCAAUUUACUGAAGGGGAUAAUUGACUAUGUAAAAGAAUAUUCUUUUCUUAAGAAAUACACAGUGAAAUAGUCAAGAAGAAAGUGGAUGAUGUAUGAAAAGUAUUCUCUGAUGUCCAGGAAUUCGUGUGUGUGUGUGUGUGUGUGUGUUUGUGUGUGUGUGUGUGUGUAGAGAGAGAGAGAGAAGAGAGGAGGUAGGAGGGAGGGAUAUAGGAGAGAGAUCACAAAUGGGUCAAAAUGUGAAUAGGCAAAUCUGGAUAAAAGUUACACUGUUGUGAUAUGGUUUGGAUGUUUCGUUUCCUCCAAAUCUCAUGUUAAAAUAUGACCACCAGUGUUGGAGGUGGGUCUAGUGGGAGGUGUUUGUGUCAAAGGGGUGGAUCCCUCAUGAAUGGCUUGGUGCCCUCCCCAUGGUAAUAAAUGAGUUCAUAUGAGAUCUGGCUGUUUAAAAGAAUGUGCCACCUCCUCCACUCUCUCUCCUGAUCCCUCUCCCACCAUGUGACAUGUUGGCUCUAGUCUUCAUUCUGCCAUGAUUAAAAAUCUUCUGAGGCCCUCUCCAGAAGCAGAUGCUGUUGCCACCUUUCCUGUAUAGCCUGCAGAACUGUGAGCCAAAAUAAAAUUCUUUUUGUCAUAAAUUACCCAGCCUCAGGUAUUUCUUUAUGGCAAUGCAAAUGAACCAAUAUAUUGUUGUUUACCAUCCAUGCAACUCUUCUGCAAGUUUAAUUAUAUUAAACUUCAAAUAAAUACAUUUUUAAUGGA